AUUGAACGCUGGCGGCAUGCCUUACACAUGCAAGUCGAACGGUAACAGGUCUUCGGAUGCUGACGAGUGGCGAACGGGUGAGUAAUACAUCGGAACGUGCCUAGUAGUGGGGGAUAACUACUCGAAAGAGUGGCUAAUACCGCAUGAGAUCUACGGAUGAAAGCAGGGGAUCGCAAGACCUUGUGCUACUAGAGCGGCCGAUGGCAGAUUAGGUAGUUGGUGGGAUAAAAGCUUACCAAGCCGACGAUCUGUAGCUGGUCUGAGAGGACGAUCAGCCACACUGGGACUGAGACACGGCCCAGACUCCUACGGGAGGCAGCAGAGGGGAAUUUUGGACAAUGGGCGCAAGCCUGAUCCAGCAAUGCCGCGUGCAGGAUGAAGGCCUUCGGGUUGUAACUGCUUUUGUACGGAACGAAAAGCCCCGGGUUAAUACCCUGGGGUCAUGACGGUACCGUAAGAAUAAGCACCGGCUAACUACGUGCCAGCCGCCGCGGUAA
RNAcentral lists this ribosomal RNA (497 nucleotides) under uncultured bacterium. Its description in RNAcentral is "partial 16S ribosomal RNA". It matches the Rfam family "Bacterial small subunit ribosomal RNA", at positions 30 to 523 of the family's 1533-position model. The record is from RNAcentral.